AUACGGAGGGUGCAAGCGUUGUUCGGAAUUACUGGGCGUAAAGCGCGCGUAGGCGGUCUGUUAUGUCAGAUGUGAAAGUCCUCGGCUCAACCGGGGAGGUGCAUUUGAAACUGGCAGACUUGAGUACUGGAGGGGGUGGUGGAAUUCCCGGUGUAGAGGUGAAAUUCGUAGAUAUCGGGAGGAAUACCGGUGGCGAAGGCGACUACCUGGCCAGAUACUGACACUGAGGUGCGAAAGCGUGGGGAGCGAACAGGAUUAGAAACCCCAGUAGUCC
This 274-nucleotide ribosomal RNA is filed under the name uncultured bacterium. Its description in RNAcentral is "partial 16S ribosomal RNA". It matches the Rfam family "Bacterial small subunit ribosomal RNA", at positions 523 to 796 of the family's 1533-position model. The record is from RNAcentral.